Non-coding RNA from Pelobates cultripes (western spadefoot toad), 267 nucleotides. The record is from the annotation of a GenBank genome assembly. NCBI's taxonomy places the organism in Eukaryota, Metazoa, Chordata, Amphibia, Anura, Pelobatidae.
CAGAGAGAGAGGAGGCACACUCACAGAGGGAGGAGACAAUCUUAGAGAAAGAGGAGAUACCCUUAGAGAGAGGAGACACUCAGAGAGAGAGGAGGCACACUCAGAGAGGGAGGAAGCACACUUAGAGAGAGAGGAGGCACACUUAGAGAGAGAGAAGACACACUCUCAGAGGGAGGAGACAACCUUAGAGAGAGAGAGAGUGAGGAGACACCCUAGAGAGAGGAGGCACACUCAGAGAGGGAGGAGAAACACUCAGAGAGAGAGGAG